UGCAGUCGAACGGAAGUCGUUAUAAAAAGGAUUGAGGAUUUAUCCGAUUGAGAUUUUAUAACAAUGGCUUUAGUGGCGGACUGGUGAGUAACGCGUGAGCAACCUGCCUACUAGAGGGGAAUAACAGUGAGAAAUCACUGCUAAUACCGCAUAUGCCAUGAACAUCACAUGAUGAAAAUGGGAAAAGAGUAAUCUGCUAGUAGAUGGGCUCGCGUCUGAUUAGAUAGUUGGUGGGGUAACGGCCUACCAAGUCGACGAUCAGUAGCCGGACUGAGAGGUUGAACGGCCACAUUGGGACUGAGAUACGGCCCAGACUCCUACGGGAGGCAGCAGUCGGGAAUAUUGCGCAAUGGAGGAAACUCUGACGCAGUGACGCCGCGUAUAGGAAGAAGGUUUUCGGAUUGUAAACUAUUGUCGUUAGGGAAGAUAAAAGACAGUACCUAAGGAGGAAGCUCCGGCUAACUACGUGCCAG
This 473-nucleotide ribosomal RNA is filed under the name uncultured bacterium. RNAcentral describes it as "bacterial SSU rRNA". It matches the Rfam family "Bacterial small subunit ribosomal RNA", at positions 56 to 511 of the family's 1533-position model. The record is from RNAcentral.